CCUUCGAUAGCUCAGCGGUAGAGCGUGGAACAGCUAUUGAGCAAUACGAUUGGCAGUGUUGUUUCAAGGUCGUCGGUUCGACUCCGGCUUAGAGGA
Peniophora sp. CONT is the source of this 96-nucleotide non-coding RNA. The record is from Rfam. NCBI's taxonomy places the organism in Eukaryota, Fungi, Basidiomycota, Agaricomycetes, Russulales, Peniophoraceae.